AGGCUGCCCGGGCCGUGGCAGGAAGCCGGAAGCAGCCGCGGCCCCAGCUCGGGAGACAUGGCGGGCGUUAAAGCUCUCGUGGCAUUAUCCUUCAGUGGGGCUAUUGGACUGACUUUUCUUAUGCUGGGAUGUGCCUUAGAGGAUUAUGGAGAUGCCACAACACCCAGCUGAUUUUUUUAAGAAGUUUUUGUAGAGACGGAGUCUCUCUGUGUUGCUCAGGCUGGUCUUGAACUCCUGGCCUCAAGUCAUCCUCCUGCCUUGGCCUCCCAAAGCUGUAUCUUGAUAGUGAACCAGGAUUAUCAUCUAUACUGGAAGUCAGCAAACUGCCACAUAUAACCUGCUACCUGUUUUUGUAAUAAAGGUUUUAUUGAAAUACA
Molecule: small RNA, 377 nt
Filed under: Pan troglodytes (chimpanzee)
Lineage: Eukaryota; Metazoa; Chordata; Mammalia; Primates; Hominidae
Description: processed transcript
Source: RNAcentral